This is a non-coding RNA of Pelobates cultripes (western spadefoot toad), 277 nucleotides long. The record is from the annotation of a GenBank genome assembly. Lineage: Eukaryota; Metazoa; Chordata; Amphibia; Anura; Pelobatidae.
CUUAGGAGUCUGUAGAAAAUGGAUAGGUGUUUGGUCUAAAGGCUGUGUGUGGUGCAGUAGGUCUCAAAGGUGGUGUGUGUGCCCUUGUUCCUCGAAUGAAAUGUGGAUCCCCCUUCAAGAAGUGGGACAAUUGGGCGUAUCGGAAGUGUUGUUUGGUAGUAGGGUGGUCUGUUGUGGCCAGUAUAGACAGUGGAGCCACUCCCGUUGGGGUCAUAACUGUACUAACCAUCGGGUAUCUCGUCUUUUGGACCAAUGGAAAUUGGGAGAAGAAGUGUGG